RNAcentral lists this unclassified non-coding RNA (540 nucleotides) under Hevea brasiliensis (rubber tree). Lineage: Eukaryota; Viridiplantae; Streptophyta; Magnoliopsida; Malpighiales; Euphorbiaceae. The record is from RNAcentral.
AAAACGAACUGUUCAUAUACAAUGUAUAUAUUAUAGUCCUACAAACAUACAUGUUUGCCCAUAUGGUAUACAACAAAAAUAAUAGAACCACAUAGACAAUGUUCCCCUAAAUAUCCUUUGAAAAGAAAAAAAGAAAUUGCUUGGAUAUAUAUGAAUUAAUACGCCCAUCUUCCCUCCCUCAUCUUCCCUCACAAGCUACUAGGAUAAUUUACAACUUACAAGAAUACUAUGAUAACCCAUAUAAUCAGCACAGUCACAGUCAAGAGUUACAUCUGUCCCAAGCCUCUAUGAGACGAUCUUGAAGGGGGCCUAUUCAAGUCCACAGAUCGUUUUAAUUCUUCUGCUAUUUGUACAUCCUUCGCAGAUGAACUAGAAACAAAGCGUGAUUGAGUCUGUGACUUUGAAUGCAAAUGAUGUUGCUUCUGAAUUUGCCGAAACUGCUGCAGCUUCAAGGCAAAGUUUAUCCCAUUAUGCAUGUCGAGCGAAUUUGGAUUUUCAUUCAGGUCUCCCUCUUCAAGUAUUUGUGACCCCCCUCCUCCA